Molecule: unclassified non-coding RNA, 482 nt
Filed under: Hevea brasiliensis (rubber tree)
Lineage: Eukaryota; Viridiplantae; Streptophyta; Magnoliopsida; Malpighiales; Euphorbiaceae
Source: RNAcentral
GUUGAGCCUUUAACCCAUGCCUUCAAAAGAGGUGAAUAAUUAACUCAAUGGCAAAGGAGAUAAAAAUGUGCAAAAGGUAGACAAGUCAUGGUCGUCAAAGAAUCAGGACAAAACCACAAAUAACGCCAAAUAGUGGAGUAAAAAGAUCUAAUUGCCAGAUUGUGAACAAAAAUUACAGUAAAUGAAUCAAUAAUAGAAGAACAGAAAGGCCAACUCAUUAUGCAUUGUAAAAUUUCAUUAUAGCGCUUUCAGAUCAACAAGAACGAGCAACAAACAAGUUGCUAAGACACAAGAUCAACCACUACAUUGCAAACAGCAAAGUCAGUGAAAUUCUCCCAAUGACAAAAUUAUCUUCAUAGAUGUUAUAUAACCAUCAAAUGGAAGGAGUUAAGUCACAUAGUAUCUAAAGAACCAGCAAUUAGGGACAUUAGAACUUCCAACAUUUGACAUUAAACAGGGAAAGAGGAAGCAACGGAUAGAAA